GUAAGAAAAGUACCAAGAUAUUUCAUGUGAAUCAGUGGCCUCAGCCCGGGUGGUUGGAGAUGCUGUCCUGCUGCUUGUUCACAACCGGUGCAGAACAGAAAGGCCCUUCCAUCAGUGACUGCAGCAUGAGAGCAUAAAAUGAAACGAUUCCCUCAAUGCACUACUAUGAUAUCUGCAAAUAAAUGCAAAUUUAAAAGGCAAGUGAUAAAAGCAAUGCUCAGAGGGGCUGUGGAAGAUUCACAAUCAGCAAGGCAGAAGAAAAAGGUUUAACUCAAAAGCACAACAUAUUGCCACUGAAGAACUCAACCAACCUUGAUCAGAAGCAGCUGACAGAAAAAAGAGAUGGGAAUGUUCUAGAGUCUCCUCUCCAUGUCUCCCCAGAACAGAAACCCAUGUGAACAAGAAACAAUACACUACACAGACUAGAAGAUUUUUCAGUCUUCCAGCGUUUGGCUAACAUUUAAUGGUGUGGAGUGUCCUUCAAUAUGCUACAGGAGAGCUCAACUGAUGUAAAGCAUAACUGGUCUAAACAAAGCACCUACUUAACAAAGAGCCCAUGGCUAGGAAGAAGGAGAGCCCUUCUUUGUUAUGUCAGUCCGCAGCAAUUAAACAAGGAUAAAUGUUCUGAGUCUUAGCUGGGUUU
This is a long non-coding RNA of Gallus gallus (chicken), 643 nucleotides long. The record is from Ensembl. NCBI's taxonomy places the organism in Eukaryota, Metazoa, Chordata, Aves, Galliformes, Phasianidae.